This 1352-nucleotide ribosomal RNA is filed under the name uncultured bacterium. Its description in RNAcentral is "bacterial SSU rRNA". It matches the Rfam family "Bacterial small subunit ribosomal RNA", at positions 28 to 1381 of the family's 1533-position model. The record is from RNAcentral.
AUUGAACGCUGGCGGCAUGCCUUACACAUGCAAGUCGAACGGUAACGGGUCCUUCGGGAUGCCGACGAGUGGCGAACGGGUGAGUAAUAUAUCGGAACGUGCCCAGUAGUGGGGGAUAACUGCUCGAAAGAGCAGCUAAUACCGCAUACGACCUGAGGGUGAAAGGGGGGGAUCGCAAGGCCUCUCGCUAUUGGAGCGGCCGAUAUCAGAUUAGCUAGUUGGUGGGGUAAAGGCCUACCAAGGCAACGAUCUGUAGUUGGUCUGAGAGGACGACCAGCCACACUGGGACUGAGACACGGCCCAGACUCCUACGGGAGGCAGCAGUGGGGAAUUUUGGACAAUGGGCGCAAGCCUGAUCCAGCAAUGCCGCGUGCAGGAAGAAGGCCUUCGGGUUGUAAACUGCUUUUGUCAGGGAAGAAAUCUUCUGGGCUAAUACCCCGGGAGGAUGACGGUACCUGAAGAAUAAGCACCGGCUAACUACGUGCCAGCAGCCGCGGUAAUACGUAGGGUGCGAGCGUUAAUCGGAAUUACUGGGCGUAAAGCGUGCGCAGGCGGCUUUGCAAGACAGAUGUGAAAUCCCCGGGCUCAACCUGGGAACUGCAUUUGUGACUGCAAGGCUAGAGUACGGCAGAGGGGGAUGGAAUUCCGCGUGUAGCAGUGAAAUGCGUAGAUAUGCGGAGGAACACCAAUGGCGAAGGCAAUCCCCUGGGCCUGUACUGACGCUCAUGCACGAAAGCGUGGGGAGCAAACAGGAUUAGAUACCCUGGUAGUCCACGCCCUAAACGAUGUCAACUGGUUGUUGGACGGCUUGCUGUUCAGUAACGAAGCUAACGCAUGAAGUUGACCGCCUGGGGAGUACGGCCGCAAGGUUGAAACUCAGAGGAAUUGACGGGGACCCGCACAAGCGGUGGAUGAUGUGGUUUAAUUCGAUGCAACGCGAAAAACCUUACCUACCCUUGACAUGUCAAGAAUUCUGCAGAGAUGUGGAAGUGCUCGAAAGAGAACUUGAACACAGGUGCUGCAUGGCCGUCGUCAGCUCGUGUCGUGAGAUGUUGGGUUAAGUCCCGCAACGAGCGCAACCCUUGUCAUUAGUUGCUACGCAAGAGCACUCUAAUGAGACUGCCGGUGACAAACCGGAGGAAGGUGGGGAUGACGUCAGGUCCUCAUGGCCCUUAUGGGUAGGGCUACACACGUCAUACAAUGGCCGGUACAGAGGGCUGCCAACCCGCGAGGGGGAGCCAAUCCCAGAAAACCGGUCGUAGUCCGGAUCGUAGUCUGCAACUCGACUGCGUGAAGUCGGAAUCGCUAGUAAUCGCGGAUCAGCUUGCCGCGGUGAAUACGUUCCCGGGUCU